UCUUUUUUUUUUUUUUUUAAGAUUUUAUUUAUUCAUGAGACACACACACACACACAGAGAGAGAGAGAGAGGUAGAGACACAGGCAGAGGGAGAAGCAGGCUCCACGCAGGGAGCCCGACGUGGGACUCAAUCCCGGGACCCCAGGAUCAGGCCCUGGGCCAAAGGCGGCACCAAACCACUGAGCCACUGGGCUUCCCUCUUUUCUUUUUGAUAAGUCUGUGUAGAGUUUAUCAAAGUCGUUCAUUCUUUCAAAGACCCAGCUUUUAGUUUUGUUGAUAUGUUCUAUUCUUUUGGUUUCUAUUUCAUUGAUUUCUGCUCUCAUUUUUAUUAAUUCUCUUUUGCUACUGUGUUUAGGCUUUAUUGGCUGUUCUUUCUCCAGCUCCUUUAGGUGUAAGUUUAGGUUGUGUAUUUGAGACCUUUCUUCUUUCUUGAGCAAGGCUUGUUUGUAUUGCUAUUUACUUCCCUCUUAGGGCCACCUUUGCUGCAUCCCAAAGGUUUUGAAUAGUUUUAUUUUCAUUUGUUUCCAUUAUGUUUUUUUUUUUAAUUAUUCUUUAAUUUCCUGGUUGACCCAUUCAUUCUUUAGUAGGAUGCUCUUUAACCUCCAGGUAUUUGAGUUCUUUCCAAACUUCCUCUUGCAGUUGAGUUCCAGUUUCAAAGCAUCAUGGUCUGAAAAUAUUCAGGGAACGAUCCCAGUCUUUUGGUCCUGGGUGAGACCUGAUCUGUGACCCAGUAUGUGAUCUAUUCUGGAGAAUGUUCCACAUGCACUCAAGAGGAAUGUGCAUUCUGCUGAUUUAGGAUGGAAUGCUCUGAGUUUUCUGUGAAGUCCAUCUGAUGCAGUGUGUCAUUCAAAGCCCCCUGUUUCCUUGUUCUGCUCAGAUGAUCUGUCCACUGCAGUGAGUGGGGUGUUAAAGUCCCUUACUAUUCCUGUAUUAUUAUCAGCGUGUUUAAUUUUGUUAUUAACUGGCUAAUAUAAUCGGUGGCUCCCAUGUCAGGGGCAUAAAUAUUUACAAUUGUUAAGACCUUCUUGUUGGAUAGACCCUUCAAUUAUGACAUAUAGUGUCCUUCCUCAUCUCUUAGUUGAGUCUCUGGUUUAAAAUCUAAUUUGUCUGAUAGAACCAUUGCCACCUCAGCUUUCUCUUGAUGUCCAUUAAGAUGAUAAAUGGUUUUCCACUCUACUUUAAAUCUGGAGGUGUCUCUGGGUCUAAAAUGAGUCUCUUGCAGACAGCAUAUUGAUGGAUGUGGUGUUUUUAUCCAAUCUGACAUGCUGUCUCUUUUGAUUGGAGCAUUUAGGCCAUUUAUAUUCAGAGUAACUAUGGAAAGAUACGAAUUUAGUGCCAUCACAUUACCUGUAAAGUCACUUUCUGUAUGUUGCUCUGUUCCUUUCUGGUCUAUGUUACUUUUGGGCUUUCUGUUUGCUUAAAGGAUCCCUUUUAAUAUUUCUUGUAGGGCUGGUUUAGUGAUCACAAAUUCUUGUAGUUUUCUGUUUGUUCUGGAAGCUUCUCAUCUCUCCUCCUAUCUGGAAUAAGAGCCUUUCUGGAUAAAGUAUUCUUGGGUGUGUAUUUUUCUCAUUUAGCACCUGAAUAUAUCAGGACAGUGUUUCCUGGCCUGCCUGGUCUGAGUGGACAGGGCUGUUGCCAGUCUAAUGUUUCCACCCUUUUAGGUUAUGGACCUCUUUUUCCCCUGAGCUGCUUUCAAGAUUUUCUCUUUGUCUCUGAGAUUUGUAAAUUUCACUAUUCUGUGUUGGUGCAUUGACCUAUUUUUAUUGAUUUUUGAGGGGAGUUUUCUGUGCCUCCUAGACUUGGAUGCCUGUUUCCUUCCCCAGAUUAGGGAAGUUCUCCAGUAUAAUCUGCCUCUCUCUCUCCUUGCUCUUCUGGGAUCCCAAUUAUUUUGCUUUAUGGUAUCACUUAUCUCUCGAAUUCUCCCCUCGUGAUCCAGUAGUUGUUUAUCUUUUUCUCAGCUUCUUUAUUCUCCAUCACUUUGUCUUCUAGAUCAUUAUUCUCUCUUUUGACUCAUUUAUUCUAACAGCUAGAGUCUCUAUAUUUGAUUGCAUCUCAAUAAUAGCCUUUUUUAUUUCAACUCGAUUAGAUUUUAGUUCUUCUAUUUCUCCAGAAAGGGAUUCUCUAAUGUCUUCUAUGCUUUUUUCAAGCCCAGCUAGUAUCUUUAUAACUGUUAUUUGAACUCUAAUUCCUAUGUCUUACUUAUGUCCACACUGAUUAGGUUCCUGGCAGUCAGUACUGCCUCUUGCUCUCUCUUUUGAGGUGAGUUUUUCCAUCUUGUCAUUCAGUCCAGAGAAGAAUAGAUGAACGAGAGAACAAAAUACUAAAAUAGGAACAAGGACCCCAGAGAUAUAUACACUAAACAAAUGAGAAGAGAUCUGAAAGUGAAAAAAAUAUAUAUGAUUGGACAGGUGAGCAGAGUAGAGCAGCACAGUGGAUCCUGUGUGUAUUUUGGUCCAUUUGUUAGAAAGCUAGAUCCCAAAAUUGUAACAAAAGAAAAAA
RNAcentral lists this long non-coding RNA (2499 nucleotides) under Canis lupus familiaris (dog). Its description in RNAcentral is "lncRNA (ENSCAFG00000059143.1)". The record is from RNAcentral. Lineage: Eukaryota; Metazoa; Chordata; Mammalia; Carnivora; Canidae.